UAAGCAUAUCAAUAAGCGGAGGAAAAGAAACCAACAGGGAUUGCCUCAGUAACGGCGAGUGAAGCGGCAACAGCUCAAAUUUGAAAUCUGGCUCCUUCGGGGCCCGAGUUGUAAUUUGGAGAAGAUGCUUCGGGGGUGGCCCCGGUCUAAGUUCCUUGGAACAGGACGUCACAGAGGGUGAGAAUCCCGUACGUGACCGGUGGCCUCCUCCAUGUGAAGCUCUUUCGACGAGUCGAGUUGUUUGGGAAUGCAGCUCAAAAUGGGUGGUAAAUUUCAUCUAAAGCUAAAUAUUGGCCAGAGACCGAUAGCGCACAAGUAGAGUGAUCGAAAGAUGAAAAGCACUUUGGAAAGAGAGUUAAACAGUACGUGAAAUUGUUGAAAGGGAAGCGCUUGCAACCAGACUUGCGCGCGGUCGAUCAUCCGGUGUUCGCACCGGUGCACUCGGCCGCGCUCAGGCCAGCAUCGGUUUGGGUGGUUGGAUAAAGGCCUCGGGAACGUGGCUCCCCUCGGGGAGUGUUAUAGCCCGAGGCGCAAUGCAGCCCACCCGGACCGAGGACCGCGCUUCGGCUAGGAUGCUGGCGUAAUGGUUGUAAGCGACCCGUCUUGAAACACGGACCAAGGAGUCUAACAUCUAUGCGAGUGUUUGGGUGUCAAACCCAUACGCGUAAUGAAAGUGAACGGAGGUGAGAACCCUUAAGGGUGCAUCAUCGACCGAUCCUGAUGUCUUCGGAUGGAUUUGAGUAAGAGCAUAGCUGUUGGGACCCGAAAGAUGGUGAACUAUGCCUGAAUAGGGUGAAGCCAGAGGAAACUCUGGUGGAGGCUCGCAGCGGUUCUGACGUGCAAAUCGAUCGUCAAAUUUGGGCAUAGGGGCGAAAGACUAAUCGAACCAUCUAGUAGCUGGUUCCUGCCGAAG
Molecule: ribosomal RNA, 913 nt
Filed under: Mycosylva clarkii
Lineage: Eukaryota; Fungi; Ascomycota
Description: LSU rRNA
Rfam family: Eukaryotic large subunit ribosomal RNA
Source: RNAcentral